Molecule: ribosomal RNA, 251 nt
Filed under: uncultured prokaryote
Description: partial 16S rRNA
Rfam family: Bacterial small subunit ribosomal RNA
Source: RNAcentral
ACGGAGGGAGCUAGCGUUGUUCGGAAUUACUGGGCGUAAAGCGCACGUAGGCGGCUUUGUAAGUCAGAGGUGAAAGCCUGGAGCUCAACUCCAGAACUGCAUUUGAAACUGCAUCGCUUGAGUCCAGGAGAGGGGAGUGGAAUUCCGAGUGUAGAGGUGAAAUUCGUAGAUAUGCGGAGGAACACCGGUGGCGAAGGCGGCUUACUGGACUUAUAUUGACGCUGAGGUGCGAGAGCGUGGGUAGCAAACAG